GGUUCCAUAAUGUAGUGGGUUAGCAUGUCUGCUUUACACACAGAAGGUCCUGGGUUCGUGCCCGAGUGGAGCUA
This 74-nucleotide transfer RNA is filed under the name Pteropus alecto (black flying fox). It matches the Rfam family "tRNA". Rfam says of the family: Transfer RNA (tRNA) molecules are approximately 80 nucleotides in length. RNAcentral also lists the same sequence under 1 other name. The record is from Rfam by way of RNAcentral. Lineage: Eukaryota; Metazoa; Chordata; Mammalia; Chiroptera; Pteropodidae.